GACCGAUAGUGAACCAGUACGUGAGGGAAAGGUGAAAAGUACUUCGAAUAGAAGGUGAAAUAGAUCCUGAAACCAUACGCUUACAAGCUGUCGGAGCCCUUUUAAUUUUAUUAUUAAGAGUAGGGUGACGACGUGCCUUUUGCAUAAUGAACCUACGAGUUAAUUUUUCCGGCAAGGUUAAGUAGUUCAGCUAUGGAGCCGUAGCGAAAGCGAGUCUGAAUAGGGCAUUUAGUCGGAAGAAUUAGACGCGAAACCGAGUGAUCUACCCAUGAGCAGGUUGAAGCUGUGGUAACACAUAGUGGAGGACCGAACCGGUUGACGUUGAAAAGUCUUCGGAUGACUUGUGGGUAGGGGUGAAAGGCUAAUCAAACUCGGAGAUAGCUCGUACUCCCCGAAAUGCAUUUAGGUGCAGCAUCGUGUUAAAUAUGACAGAGGUAGAGCUACUGAUUGGAUGAAGGGGUUUCAUCACCUACUAAUUCCUGAUAAACUCCGAAUGCUGUUAUUAUGUUUCACGGUAGUGAGGGCAUGGGUGCUAAGAUCCAUGUCCAAGAGGGAAACAACCCAGAUCAUCAGUUAAGGCCCCUAAGUAUAUAUUAAGUUGUAUAAACAAAGUUUAAUUACACACGACAUGCUAGGAUGUUGGCUUGGAAGCAG
RNAcentral lists this ribosomal RNA (654 nucleotides) under Blattabacterium punctulatus. RNAcentral describes it as "bacterial LSU rRNA". It matches the Rfam family "Bacterial large subunit ribosomal RNA", at positions 482 to 1115 of the family's 2925-position model. The record is from RNAcentral. Lineage: Bacteria; Pseudomonadati; Bacteroidota; Flavobacteriia; Flavobacteriales; Blattabacteriaceae.